Molecule: small nucleolar RNA, 74 nt
Filed under: Collybiopsis luxurians FD-317 M1
Lineage: Eukaryota; Fungi; Basidiomycota; Agaricomycetes; Agaricales; Omphalotaceae
Description: Gymnopus luxurians FD-317 M1 Small nucleolar RNA snR56
Rfam family: Small nucleolar RNA snR56
Source: Rfam by way of RNAcentral
UUUUGUGAUGAUACACAUUCAGACCUGUUCCGAACUUCAGUGAGGACAACUCUAUAUUGCCUUUUUAUCUGAAU